This 253-nucleotide ribosomal RNA is filed under the name uncultured bacterium. RNAcentral's name for it is "partial 16S ribosomal RNA". It matches the Rfam family "Bacterial small subunit ribosomal RNA", at positions 524 to 776 of the family's 1533-position model. The record is from RNAcentral.
UACGAAGGGGGCUAGCGUUGUUCGGAAUCACUGGGCGUAAAGGGUGCGCAGGCGGGCAUUUAAGUCAGGGGUGAAAUCCCGAGGCUCAACCUCGGAACUGCCUUUGAUACUGGAUGUCUUGAGUCCGGAAGAGGUGAGUGGAACUGCGAGUGUAGAGGUGAAAUUCGUAGAUAUUCGCAAGAACACCGGUGGCGAAGGCGGCUCACUGGUCCGGAACUGACGCUGAGGCACGACAGCGUGGGGAGCAAACAGG